GGAAGGAUCAUUGACAAAUCUAAACCGCUGCCCUCUCUCUCGGGGGAGGCAGUAACCUUCCAACCUGUGAAUCGGCAGCUAAGGCUGUUGCGCUUUGGCAGUGGUGUUCCGGCACUCCUGCCAAGCUGACAUAAACGUCUAACAAAUGUCUAAGCAUGUUGCAAAACAAUAACAACUUUUAGCAAUGGAUCUCUUGGCUUCUGUAACGAUGAAGAACGCAGUGAAAUGCGAUAAUUAAUGUGAAUUGCAUUAUCUCGUGAAUCAUCGAGUCUUUGAACGCAUCUUGCACUUUUCAGGUCUCCUGGAAAGUAUACUUGUUUGAGUAUCAUAAACACCGCUCAGAGUCACACGCUUUGGUGUGUCCUCUCUGGAAGUGAGACGUCAGGGAGCAUUGCGCUCUUUGUGUCUUUUAAUUGAUAUGCAGUGCGCUUCCGCUUGCACCCUGUGUGCAUGGCGGAUGCCCAACUACUAAAUGUGAGAUAAAUAUCGCACAAAGCGGUCGUUGGGUCAAGUGCUGCUACGCCCAGCGUGCCCCCAAAGGGCACACACCCACCGAGUCAUUGAUCUCAAAUCAAGUAAGAGUACCCGCUGAACUUAAGCAUAUCAGUAAGCGGAGGAAAAGAAACUAACAAGGAUUCCCCCAGUAACGGCGAGUGAAGAGGGAAGAGCUCAAAUUUAAAAUCUGUAAGGCCUCCUUACCGAAUUGUAAUUUAUAGAAGUGUUUCUUGGCGCGGCAGCUGGCACAAGUCUCUUGGAAAAGAGCAUCAGAGAGGGUGACAAUCCCGUACCUGGCCUCCAGCCUGCGCCUCUGCGAUGCACUCUCUACGAGUCGGAUUGUUUGGGAAUGCAGUCCUAAAUGGGUGGUAAAUUUCAUCUAAAGCUAAAUAUCGACAGAAGACCGAUAGCGAACAAGUACCGUGAGGGAAAGAUGAAAAGAACUUUGAAAAGAGAGUUAAAAGUACGUGAAAUUGCUAAAAGGGAAACGAUCAAAGUCAGUAUUGCCUUGGGAGGCUCAGCCAGUGUUAGCGGAAGCCGCCGCGGACCGAGUGUAACAGCCGGUCUCGGAUGUGUGACGUGGGCACCGGCGCAUUCCUCCCGGGCAAGUCAACAUCGGUUCUGCCUGCUGGAUAGGGCCUGGAGGAAGGUGGGUGUUGUCUCCGGACGAUAUCUUUAUAGACUCCAGACUGAGACAGCGGACGGGACCGAGGACUGCAGUCUAAAGCCGCAGGGCUGGGACCAACAGGACAUAGAGCGUCCCGCGGAGUGUGCCUGCACGCAGGAGCAUUCUGCCGUCGACGCGCUAUUGUCCCGGGCGUCGCCGUUAGACUUAGGAUGUUGACGAAAUGGCUUUGACCGACCCGUCUUGAAACACGGACCAAGGAGUCUAACAAUUAUGCGAGUGUUUGAGUGUUAAACUCAAGCGCGCAACGAAAGUGAUUUUAAUGGGACUCCCCCGGGACGCACCAUUAGCCAGUCUGGAUCUCUUGUGAAAGAUUGAGCAGGAGCAUAGCUGUUAGGACCCGAAAGAUGGUGAACUAUGCCUGAAUAGGGUGAAGUCAGAGGAAACUCUGAUGGAGGCUCGUAGCGGUUCUGACGUGCAAAUCGAUCGUCAAAUUUGGGUAUAGGGGCGAAAGACUAAUCGAACCAUCUAGUAGCUGGUUCCCUC
RNAcentral lists this unclassified non-coding RNA (1666 nucleotides) under uncultured fungus. RNAcentral describes it as "sequence contains 18S rRNA gene, ITS1, 5.8S rRNA gene, ITS2, 28S rRNA gene". The stretch from base 562 to 1666 matches the Rfam family "Eukaryotic large subunit ribosomal RNA", at positions 1 to 961 of the family's 3401-position model. Lineage: Eukaryota; Fungi. The record is from RNAcentral.